Molecule: transfer-messenger RNA, 352 nt
Filed under: Acidobacteriota bacterium
Lineage: Bacteria; Pseudomonadati; Acidobacteriota
Rfam family: transfer-messenger RNA
About the family: Bacterial tmRNA, also known as 10Sa RNA or SsrA, is named for its dual tRNA and mRNA-like properties.
Source: RNAcentral
GGGGGUGACUGGCUUCGACUUUGGUCGUUGAUACGGGAGAAGCGAGCCGUGGUCUCCGGAACCACGUUAAAGAGCCGGAACCUAUAAACAAACGCCAAGCCUCAGCUUGCGCUGGCUGCUUAACAAGUAGCCCGUUCGCCCGGCUCCAGCCCUGCGGGUCGGUAGCGGACGUCAUCCAGUAGGGCUCACCCGGCGGUCCUGUCGACAGGCCGGCGGGGACAUCUUCGUCGACUGGGGCCCUCCGCCGAUGCCGGUGGCGAGUGGAGGGCCCGAGAUCAGAUCACCGGAUGCGCUCGGAGAAGGCCCGUUGAGGCAUCGAAGGACGCGGGUUCGAUUCCCGCCACCUCCACUC